Molecule: ribosomal RNA, 621 nt
Filed under: uncultured bacterium
Lineage: Bacteria
Description: bacterial SSU rRNA
Rfam family: Bacterial small subunit ribosomal RNA
Source: RNAcentral
CGUGGGUGACCUGCCUUCGAGCGGGGGAUAACGUUCCGAAAGGGACGCUAAUACCGCAUGACAUCCUGCCUUUGAACAGGCGGUGAUCAAAGCCGGGGAUCGCAAGACCUGGCACUCGAAGAGGGGCCCGCGUCCGAUUAGCUAGUUGGUGAGGUAAUGGCUCACCAAGGCAACGAUCGGUAGCCGGCCUGAGAGGGCGGACGGCCACACUGGGACUGAGACACGGCCCAGACUCCUACGGGAGGCAGCAGUGGGGAAUUGUUCGCAAUGGGCGCAAGCCUGACGACGCAACGCCGCGUGGAGGAUGAAGAUCUUCGGGUCGUAAACUCCUUUCGAUCGAGACGAACGACCUCCGGAUGAACACCCCGGGGGAGUGACGGUACCGAGAGAAGAAGCCCCGGCUAACUCCGUGCCAGCAGCCGCGGUAAUACGGGGGGGGCAAGCGUUGUUCGGAAUUACUGGGCGUAAAGGGCUCGUAGGCGGCCAACUAAGUCAGACGUGAAAUCCCUCGGCUUAACCGGGGAACUGCGUCUGAUACUGGAUGGCUCGAGUUUGGGAGAGGGAUGCGGAAUUCCAGGUGUAGCGGUGAAAUGCGUAGAUAUCUGGAGGAACACCGGUGGC